Molecule: ribosomal RNA, 498 nt
Filed under: Scelotes anguinus (Boulenger's burrowing skink)
Lineage: Eukaryota; Metazoa; Chordata; Lepidosauria; Squamata; Scincidae
Description: partial 16S ribosomal RNA
Rfam family: Bacterial large subunit ribosomal RNA
Source: RNAcentral
NNUGGUUCCAACUGCCCAGUGAUGAUUUUAACGGACGCGGUAUUCUAACCGUGCAAAGGUAGCGUAAUCACUUGUCUUCUAAAUAAAGACUAGUAUGAACGGCUAAAUGAGGUCAAGUCUGUCUCUUAUAACCAAUCAGUGAAAUUAAUCUUCCAGUACAAAAGCUGGAAUAUUACCAUAAGACGAGAAGACCCUGUGGAGCUUUAAACAAACCAUUAAUUUCUAAAAACCUAAUACAUAGUUUUAAGUUGGGGCGACUUUGGAACAAACUAAACCUCCAAGCACAGAACCACAAAUUCUAUAUAGGCUAACAAGCCAGCCAUAUGACCCAGUAACACUGAUUAACGAACCAAGUUACCCCAGGGAUAACAGCGCCAUCUUCUUCAAGAGUUCCUAUCGACAAGAAGGUUUACGACCUCGAUGUUGGAUCAGGACACCCAAAUGGUGCAGCCGCUAUUAAAGGUUCGUUUGUUCAACGAUUAACAGUCCUACAUGAUC